RNAcentral lists this long non-coding RNA (1318 nucleotides) under Homo sapiens (human). RNAcentral describes it as "non-protein coding lnc-EPG5-1:8". Lineage: Eukaryota; Metazoa; Chordata; Mammalia; Primates; Hominidae. The record is from RNAcentral.
CUUUUCUUCAAAGGAUGGGUUGGAGCGUUAAAAAAUGUUGGUGGGUUUGGGCUCGCAGGAGGCGGCGCGCGGAGGGCGAGGGCGCUUUUGCUGAGCUGUGCAGUUCGGUCCGCUGAGCCCGGCGGCCCUGCCCGCCCGCUCGUCCGCCCGCGGUCGCUAGUGUUGCCGCCGCCGCCGCCGCCGCCGCCGCUGCUGCUCCAUGGCCGCGCCCGCCCCGCGCCCCCGCCGCGUCCCGUCGCCGCCCGCCCGCGUCCCCGGUGAGCGCUGGAGUGGGGUCGGGCCCGUGUGCCUGCCUCCCGCGCCCUCUCCGAAUCCCGGACUCCUAGUGAAAGGAAGGGGGAGGGCGCGGGCGCGGAAGGGAGGUGGAUCGGAGCGGCAGCGCGGCCCAGCCGAACGGGUACCGACCGUCACCCCGCGAUCUUCCUCGCAGGGGGCGCCGGCGCCCAAGCUGCUCGCCCGGAGGGCCCAGAGCCGCUUCCCAGACCAGAGCCGGGGGAGGCGCAGCCAGUAGCGAGCCCUGAGCGACCUCUCUCCCCACUCGCCCCCCUGCCCCAGUGAAUUUCUGUCAGUUGAAGGGAGCGGGGCUCUUGCCCGGGGAAAAGGAAAACAGUUCGUGGCCUGGGAUCUGGGACCCCUUGCCGCCCCCAGCGCCCCUCCCGCUCCCCGGCGCCCUUGCGGCCCAGUGGCUCCUGCGCGCCGGAGUCCGCCGCGAAGACUGAGCGGCCGCGGGGAUCGCCGCGGGCUCCGCGCGUAUUCCUGGGCUCAACACUGCCACUAUCUGACACAACAGGAGCAGUGUCGGGGGGGUACUGCGCGCCCAGACGUGAGCUGUGAUAGGCUCUCGAAACUGGGCGCAUUUUUUUUUUAACCUGAGAAUUGGACACUUGAUGAAGGGAAGGACACGGAGAGAUGACAAACGCAGACUGGCAUGCAGUUGUUUUCAGGGUGGGAAGAACAAAGUGGAAUGUCUUCAGUUCUUACAAAAUAUGGUGGCAUUUGUAAUCUCUGAGUUUUUGUAUUUGGCCUACAAAGGGGGUCUUUUCAGGGAAACACGAAUGGAACCCUUCAGAGACAUGUCUACAUUGUAAAACAAUAUAGGAUAGAUACGGAUUCGGGAAGGUCUGCAAAUGGUUCCGCUCAAAGAACUUGGGGUAAAGUUGACCGAGGACUCGGAUUCUGAGAGGACUCCUAUCACGUUCUUCAUGAGAGUUUUAGGCUAUUUGGACUGAGGAAUGAUUUGGAGGUACGUCGGGGGCAUUCCCUCACUGAGGCCAUCAGUGGCUGCCUCCCUGCAUUGGCUGCUGGUUUGAGUUCCUUC